Molecule: transfer RNA, 29 nt
Filed under: Chelonoidis duncanensis (Duncan Island giant tortoise)
Lineage: Eukaryota; Metazoa; Chordata; Testudines; Testudinidae
Description: partial tRNA-Asp
Source: RNAcentral
AAUUAUAGGUUCAAACCCUUUACGACUUA